RNAcentral lists this long non-coding RNA (591 nucleotides) under Monodelphis domestica (gray short-tailed opossum). RNAcentral's name for it is "lncRNA (ENSMODG00000037864.1)". Lineage: Eukaryota; Metazoa; Chordata; Mammalia; Didelphimorphia; Didelphidae. The record is from RNAcentral.
AAUAUUUGCAUCCCCCAAUCACUGCCGUAGGAGCUAGGGCUUUUGCCAAGAGGGCGGGGUUCCAUGCUGCCCCCCGCCCUAGGCUUUUAUUGGGGAAGGUUGGCAAUAGCGGGUAUCAGUUUCCUUCCCCUGCCAACCCCCACCUCGAGGUGCUGGGACUAGAUGGGGGUGAAGGAGAAUGGAUCUUUUGAGUAUCUCUCCAAGCCUUGAUCUCAAAGCGCGUGAUGCAGAGAGAGCUGGAUGAAGUGACUCAAAAGACUUCUGGCCUGGAUUCUACCUUUCAGUUCCUGAAAAAUCACCUGGAUAAAUCACUUCCUUUCUCUGGGAUUCAUUCUCUUCUCUAAAAUGAAGAGGUUGAACUAAACUGGCCUAUUGGCUGAAGUUUUGGUGCCUGGUGUUUGCUAGUACUUGAAACUCCUGUCUACUUUCAAGGUUCAAGGUAAUCACCUCAUCUUUCUAGGAUCUUUCCUGAUUGCCCUAGUUACAGUAGUUAGCAUCUCCCACCCUGGUUGCACACUUUAAAUUUAUUUAUUUAUUUUUAUCUAUCUCACCUUUUUUUUUUUAAUCUUUGAACAGGUUGUAUUUCUCUUC